AUUGAACGCUGGCGGCAUGCCUUACACAUGCAAGUCGAACGGCAGCACGGAGCUUGCUCUGGUGGCGAGUGGCGAACGGGUGAGUAGUAUAUCGGAACGUACCCUAGAGUGGGGGAUAACGUAGCGAAAGUUACGCUAAUACCGCAUACGAUCUAAGGAUGAAAGUGGGGGAUCGCAAGACCUCAUGCUCGUGGAGCGGCCGAUAUCUGAUUAGCUAGUUGGUAGGGUAAAAGCCUACCAAGGCAUCGAUCAGUAGCUGGUCUGAGAGGACGACCAGCCACACUGGAACUGAGACACGGUCCAGACUCCUACGGGAGGCAGCAGUGGGGAAUUUUGGACAAUGGGCGAAAGCCUGAUCCAGCAAUGCCGCGUGAGUGAAGAAGGCCUUCGGGUUGUAAAGCUCUUUUGUCAGGGAAGAAACGGUGAGAGCUAAUAUCUCUUGCUAAUGACGGUACCUGAAGAAUAAGCACCGGCUAACUACGUGCCAGCAGCCGCGGUAAUACGUAGGGUGCAAGCGUUAAUCGGAAUUACUGGGCGUAAAGCGUGCGCAGGCGGUUUUGUAAGUCUGAUGUGAAAUCCCCGGGCUCAACCUGGGAAUUGCAUUGGAGACUGCAGGGCUAGAAUCUGGCAGAGGGGGGUAGAAUUCCACGUGUAGCAGUGAAAUGCGUAGAUAUGUGGAGGAACACCGAUGGCGAAGGCAGCCCCCUGGGUCAAGAUUGACGCUCAUGCACGAAAGCGUGGGGAGCAAACAGGAUUAGAUACCCUGGUAGUCCACGCCCUAAACGAUGUCUACUAGUUGUCGGGUCUUAAUUGACUUGGUAACGCAGCUAACGCGUGAAGUAGACCGCCUGGGGAGUACGGUCGCAAGAUUAAAACUCAAAGGAAUUGACGGGGACCCGCACAAGCGGUGGAUGAUGUGGAUUAAUUCGAUGCAACGCGAAAAACCUUACCUACCCUUGACAUGGCUGGAAUCCUUGAGAGAUCAGGGAGUGCUCGAAAGAGAACCAGUACACAGGUGCUGCAUGGCUGUCGUCAGCUCGUGUCGUGAGAUGUUGGGUUAAGUCCCGCAACGAGCGCAACCCUUGUCAUUAGUUGCUACGAAAGGGCACUCUGAUGAGACUGCCGGUGACAAACCGGAGGAAGGUGGGGAUGACGUCAAGUCCUCAUGGCCCUUAUGGGUAGGGCUUCACACGUCAUACAAUGGUACAUACAGAGCGCCGCCAACCCGCGAGGGGGAGCUAAUCGCAGAAAGUGUAUCGUAGUCCGGAUUGUAGUCUGCAACUCGACUGCAUGAAGUUGGAAUCGCUAGUAAUCGCGGAUCAGCAUGUCGCGGUGAAUACGUUCCCGGGUCU
Molecule: ribosomal RNA, 1352 nt
Filed under: uncultured bacterium
Lineage: Bacteria
Description: bacterial SSU rRNA
Rfam family: Bacterial small subunit ribosomal RNA
Source: RNAcentral